GAAAGAUCCAAAGUGUCAGAGAAGUCUCUCUCUUGGCCGUGAAUAACAGGCUACCUUGAAUUGGUGUUUCCUUUGCGUAUUUUGUUUCUAAGCAAAUCGAGUCCCAGGUAGAGUUUUGCCCUUGAGCAGCUUCAUGAGGUCAAGGAGGGGCGCUCACUCCACUCUGCACGGAAACACUGAGUGGAAUGAAAAUACAACCGGAGAGAAUGUCCUCCCCACCAGAAGGUCGCCUCGAGACAGGCCUCCACGCAUCGUUGCUGACCUCACACAGUGAUACCUCUGCAUGCCGGGGAGCAAUUCCAUCCAAGAAUGUCUGAGACGCGCUCUGCAAGAUGAGUUGGCAGCAUCUCUGUGCCUCUGGUUUUGCCAGGCUCCACCAACAUCCCGCUAAGAACUCUUCACCCUCAAGUGCACUGAGGGGAACCCCAGUGAAGGCCAAUGAGGGAAACCACACAUCACUGAGGGCCGACGGAGGCCCCCAAAGCUCAGAUCGCUGUGCUCGCCAGUAGGUCCCCAGACACCCUUAACACAGCUAUCUGCAGGAUUGAAUGAUUGCUGGGACCACACAAUUUACACUUGGCUCUCGUGGUCCGGAGGGGAGGACUGCGCCAGCAUGAGAAGACCAGAGAGCAAGUAAAUGGAAAUUUGGCGAGAUCCUGUGGCUGCUGUUGGUGGCUGCAGCCAGACAGGAAAACUGAGAUGGUGUGAGCAGAAAGGGCUGGAAGGAGUUGGCUUUUUCCAAGAAAUUACAGCGGAAUCUUCUUCCAAGAGGCUGGGGGCCUCUGCAGACAUGAUCUCAUUACUUACCCCCCAAAUCCCCCAGCUUCCCUACGGACCAAGGACCAGGGGUCUCUGCCCAGUCCUAGCUCCAAGGAAACUCACACUUGGCAGAUUUUCCUAAUCGGAGCUGGCCUUGAAGUUUGCUCACUGAUAAUCACCAGAAAGUCACCCCAACAAUGGGUGAUGCCAGAGUGUCCUCAAGCUUCAAGGGUCCGUAAAAACACUUGACUCCCCCAGGACAAAAAUGACUGGGGGAAACAUGCAGUUCUUCAAAGAGAACGGUUUCAUUCUGUACCAAAGGGUGUCUUAAUUUGCCUUGGCAAGAGAGGCAGCACCGUGUUGUGGGUGGACAGCACUCGGGGGGUGGACGGCACUCGGG
RNAcentral lists this long non-coding RNA (1159 nucleotides) under Homo sapiens (human). RNAcentral describes it as "HSALNT0158242". The record is from RNAcentral. Lineage: Eukaryota; Metazoa; Chordata; Mammalia; Primates; Hominidae.